Molecule: microRNA precursor, 265 nt
Filed under: Malus domestica (apple)
Lineage: Eukaryota; Viridiplantae; Streptophyta; Magnoliopsida; Rosales; Rosaceae
Source: RNAcentral
UAACUGAUGAGGGAAGAAAGGUCCUACAUGAGGAUGAAGAGCCGUGUUUUGUAGCCAAGGAUGACUUGCCUGCAACCUCCCAAAGGCCUCCGAAAAAUUUAUGUGUACUGUGAGAGAUAUGCUUGGUUAGCUUAGCUAGUGUUAGCUAAGCUAGCUAGCUAGUUUGCUAGUGGUUUAAGAAUCCUUGUCUGGUAUACAGGCAGUCUCCUUGGCUAUCGAGACAGGUUCUUUUCUCUCAUGCUGGGCCUCUUCUUCCAUGGGUCUC